This 505-nucleotide ribosomal RNA is filed under the name uncultured bacterium. Its description in RNAcentral is "partial 16S ribosomal RNA". It matches the Rfam family "Bacterial small subunit ribosomal RNA", at positions 28 to 507 of the family's 1533-position model. The record is from RNAcentral.
GACGAACGCUGGCGGCGUGCCUAAUACAUGCAAGUAGAACGCACAGUUUAUACCGUAGCUUGCUACACCAUAGACUGUGAGUUGCGAACGGGUGAGUAACGCGUAGGUAACCUGCCUGGUAGCGGGGGAUAACUAUUGGAAACGAUAGCUAAUACCGCAUAAUAUUAAUUAUUGCAUGAUAAUUGAUUGAAAGAUGCAACUGCAUCACUACCAGAUGGACCUGCGUUGUAUUAGCUAGUAGGCGAGGUAACGGCUCACCUAGGCGACGAUACAUAGCCGACCUGAGAGGGUGAUCGGCCACACUGGGACUGAGACACGGCCCAGACUCCUACGGGAGGCAGCAGUAGGGAAUCUUCGGCAAUAGACGAAAGUCUGACCGAGCAACGCCGCGUGAGUGAAGAAGGUUUUCGGAUCGUAAAGCUCUGUUGUAAGAGAAGAACGGGUGUGAGAGUGGAAAGUUCACACUGUGACGGUAUCUUACCAGAAAGGGACGGCUAACUACGUG